This 253-nucleotide ribosomal RNA is filed under the name uncultured bacterium. Its description in RNAcentral is "partial 16S ribosomal RNA". It matches the Rfam family "Bacterial small subunit ribosomal RNA", at positions 524 to 776 of the family's 1533-position model. The record is from RNAcentral.
UACGUAGGGUGCAAGCGUUAAUCGGAAUUACUGGGCGUAAAGCGUGCGCAGGCGGUUUUGUAAGACAGAGGUGAAAUCCCCGGGCUCAACCUGGGAACUGCCUUUGUGACUGCAAGGCUGGAGUGCGGCAGAGGGGGAUGGAAUUCCGCGUGUAGCAGUGAAAUGCGUAGAUAUGCGGAGGAACACCGAUGGCGAAGGCAAUCCCCUGGGCCUGUACUGACGCUCAUGCACGAAAGCGUGGGGAGCAAACAGG